AAUCAACGCUGGCGGCGUGCCUCAGACAUGCAAGUCGAACGAUUAAAGCUCUCUUCGGAGAGUGUAUAGAGUGGCGCACGGGUGAGUAACACGUAAGUAAUCUACCUUUGAGUGGGGAAUAACGUCCGGAAACGGACGCUAAUACCGCAUAAUGCAGCGGCAUCGCAAGAUGACAGUUGUUAAAGAAUUUAUUCGCUUGAAGAGGAGCUUGCGGCAGAUUAGCUAGUUGGUAAGGUAAUGGCUUACCAAGGCUACGAUCUGUAACCGGUCUAAGAGGACGGUCGGUCACACUGACACUGAAUAACGGGUCAGACUCCUACGGAGGCAGCAGUCGGGAAUUUUGGGCAAUGGGCGAAAGCCUGACCCAGCAACGCCGCGUGAAGGAUGAAGUAUUUCGGUAUGUAAACUUCGAAAGAAUGGGAAGAAUCAAUGACGGUACCAUUUAUAAGGUCCGGCUAACUACGUGCCAGCCGCCGCAGUAAU
Molecule: ribosomal RNA, 483 nt
Filed under: uncultured bacterium
Lineage: Bacteria
Description: bacterial SSU rRNA
Rfam family: Bacterial small subunit ribosomal RNA
Source: RNAcentral